AACAGUGUAUUCAGGACCUUCAAAGGCUCACAAAUCAGCUGGAAAUCUUCAAGUGCAAUCACAUAUAUAGAGAGGCAAAUUGUACAGCUGACUUCCUAUCUAAAUGGAGUCAUAACUCCGACAUUCUAUAGCAAUUUUACACCUACCAGCAGCUGACCAGGUUGGCCAAAGGAAGCUAUGUUUUAGAAAAAUUGGGUUUGACUACUUUCAGGAGGAAAAAGUUGAAAAGAAUCAAACAUCCUCCCUGAUCCUUGCAACUAGGACCAAUUGUACCUCUAUAUGUAGUUCUACACAAUGGUCUCAACUUGAAAAAUUUCUUCGUCAGUUUCGCACGUACAAGUCCACAAUUCUCUAACACUUGUAAUCAAUUUCCAGAAGAAUGCUUAGCCAUUCAUUUCUAUCCAAAGCUAACUUAAUCACUGCACCCUAAAAUCUAAAUAAAAUGGAAAGCAUGACUAGAUAAACAAUUUCAGAAACUAAUAAAGUUGAAGCAACAAAAACAUAAUACUUAUAAGAUUUACACUAAUUUAGUGAUUAAUAAACUAGCAUUACGUUUGGCCUUUAAAGAAUCUAUGGGAGUUGAGACCCCAUCAAAACACCUCAUAUUUCUUUCAACCAUAUGCUCCAAAAAAUGCAAACAGGUAUUUAUCAACUUCCCACAAACACCCAGAUCUGUAUGCUUUCCUUGCUGAUUUAUACUUAUUUAGUGAUUAAUCAACUGAUGUGGGUAAUACAACUACGAGCUAAACUCCCAAAAAUCAACAAAAAUCGUAUUUGCAGACACAAGAAUAUCAAAACCCUAAAGCUAAAAUUUAGACUUUCAAAGAUAGAAUUUUUACCUGAUAAACCCUAUUCCACCAAAAUCCUUUCAAUGUGUUGAAGCUUUAAGACACCAUCUUCUCAAGUGAAGCAUUUUAGUGAGGCGUGUUCAUCUGUGAGGCAUAACCUUCUGCUCUUCAACAAGAAAUCGUGAAAUCGUGUUCUUCAGCGAGUAGCUCUUCAGCUCUUCAACGUGAAAUCGUGAAAUCU
RNAcentral lists this long non-coding RNA (1029 nucleotides) under Solanum tuberosum (potato). Its description in RNAcentral is "long non-coding RNA (STUB_LNC001474)". Lineage: Eukaryota; Viridiplantae; Streptophyta; Magnoliopsida; Solanales; Solanaceae. The record is from RNAcentral.